RNAcentral lists this ribosomal RNA (2767 nucleotides) under Bacteroides fragilis. RNAcentral's name for it is "bacterial LSU rRNA". It matches the Rfam family "Bacterial large subunit ribosomal RNA". The record is from RNAcentral. Lineage: Bacteria; Pseudomonadati; Bacteroidota; Bacteroidia; Bacteroidales; Bacteroidaceae.
AAGUAAAUAAGGGCGCAUGGCGGAUGCCUUGGCUCUCGGAGGCGAUGAANGACGUGAUAAGCUGCGAUNAGCUUCGGGUAGGUGCAAAUGACCUUUGAUUCCGAAGAUUUCCGAAUGGGACAACCCCGGCAUUCUGAAGGAAUGUCAUCCAACUUGGUUGGAGGCUAACGCAGGGAACUGAAACAUCUUAGUACCUGCAGGAAAAGAAAAUAAAUAAUGAUUCCCCUAGUAGUGGCGAGCGAACGGGGAUUAGCCCAAACCACCCAUGUUACGGCAUGUGUGGGGUUGUAGGACCACGCUCUCGCAAGACAGUUAUUGAGAAGAAACGACUGGAAAGUCGUGCCAUAGACGGUGAUAGCCCGGUAUUCUAAGGUAACCGAAGCGUAGUGGUAUCCUGAGUAGCGCGGAGCACGAGGAAUUCUGCGUGAACCAGCCGGGACCAUCCGGUAAGGCUAAAUACUCCCGAGAGACCGAUAGCGAACCAGUACUGUGAAGGAAAGGUGAAAAGCACUUCGAAUAGAAGAGUGAAAUAGUCCCUGAAACCAUGCGCCUACAAGCGGUCGGAGCAGCUUAAGCUGUGACGGCGUGCCUUUUGCAUAAUGAACCUACGAGUUACUUUUUCCGGCAAGGUUAAGCAUCUUGAGAUGUGGAUCCGAAGCGAAAGCGAGUCUGAACAGGGCGGAUAGUCGGAAGGAGUAGACGCGAAACCAAGUGAUCUACCCUUGGGCAGGUUGAAGGUUAGGUAACACUAACUGGAGGACCGAACCGAUAAGCGUUGAAAAGCUUCCGGAUGACCUGAGGGUGGGGGGUGAAAGGCUAAUCAAACUUGGAGAUAGCUCGUACUCCCCGAAAUGCAUUUAGGUGCAGCCUUGAGAGUUACUAAUGUGAGGUAGAGCGACUGAUAAGAUGCGAGGGCUUCACCGCCUAUCAAGUCUUGAUAAACUCCGAAUGCGCAUUAGUUCUAUCUCAGGAGUGAGGGCAUGGGUGUAAGGUCCAUGUCUAAAGAGAAGAAUCCAGACCAUCAGUAAGGUCCCCAAAUAAACAUUAAGUUGACCUAACGAAGUCAGAUUGCUAAGACAGCUAGGAUGUUGGCUUGGAAGCAGCCAUUCAUUUAAAGAGUGCGUAACAGCUCACUAGUCGAGGAGUUUGGCGUGGAUAAUAAUCGGGCAUAAGUGUUUUACCGAAGCUAUGGGAUCCGUAUGGAUCGGUAGGGGAGCAUUCCACUCAGCGUUGAAGGCGAAGCGUGAGCUUUACUGGAGCGUGUGGAAAAGCAAAUGUAGGUAUAAGUAACGAUAAAGGGGGUGAGAAACCCCCUCGCCGCAAGACUAAGGUUUCCUGAUCAACGCUAAUCGGAUCAGGGUUAGUCGGGUCCUAAGGCUCAGCCGAACGGUGAGGCCGAUGGCAGAACAGGUUAAUAUUCCUGUACUACCUAUAAGAGUGAUGUGGAGACGGAGGAGUGACAACGCCGCGGACUGACGGAAUAGUCCGUUAAAGGGUGUAGAUGUUGAUUAUCCCAGGCAAAUCCGGGAUAAGAGUCGAACCUGACAGUAUACCAAUUUCCUCGGAAAACGGUAAUAGUGCGUGUAAACAUACUCCCAAGAAAAUCCGCUAAACUUAAUCUUAUAGGUACCCGUACCGUAAACGGACACACGUAGUCGGGUUGAAUAUACUCAGGCGCUUGAGUGAAUCACGGUUAAGGAACUAGGCAAAUUGACCCUGUAACUUCGGGAUAAAGGGUCCCUACCCGGUGACGGGGAGGGCGCAGAAAAAUAGGUCCAGGCCAACCUGUUUAACAAAAACACAGGGCUGUGCAAAAUUGAAAGAUCACGUUUACAGCCCUGACACCUGCCCGGUGCUGGAAGGUUAAGAGGAGAUGUCAUCGCAAGAGAAGCAUUGAAUUGAAGCCCCAGUAAACGGCGGCCGUAACUAUAACGGUCCUAAGGUAGCGAAAUUCCUUGUCGGGUAAGUUCCGACCUGCACGAAUGGCGUAACGAUGGCCACACUGUCUCCACCAGAGACUCAGCGAAGUUGAAAUGUUUGUAAUGAUGCAUCUCCCCGCGGAAAGACGGAAAGACCCCAUGAACCUUUACUGUAGCUUUGUAUUGGAUUUUGAACGGAUCUGUGUAGGAUAGGUGGGAGGCUUUGAAGUGAGGACGCUAGUUCUCAUGGAGCCGACGUUGAAAUACCACCCUGGUGCGUUGAGGUUCUAACCCAGGUCCCUUAUCGGGAUCGGGGACAGUGCAUGGUAGGCAGUUUGACUGGGGCGGUCUCCUCCCAAAGCGUAACGGAGGAGUUCGAAGGUACGCUAGUUACGGUGCGGACAUCGUGACGAUAGUGCAAUGGCAUAAGCGUGCUUAACUGCGAGACUGACAAGUCGAGCAGAUGCGAAAGCAGGACAUAGUGAUCCGGUGGUUCUGUAUGGAAGGGCCAUCGCUCAACGGAUAAAAGGUACUCUGGGGAUAACAGGCUGAUACCGCCCAAGAGUUCAUAUCGACGGCGGUGUUUGGCACCUCGAUGUCGGCUCAUCUCAUCCUGGGGCUGUAGUCGGUCCCAAGGGUAUGGCUGUUCGCCAUUUAAAGAGGUACGUGAGCUGGGUUUAAAACGUCGUGAGACAGUUUGGUCCCUAUCUUCCGUGGGCGCUGCAGAUUUGAGGAAGCCUGCUCCUAGUACGAGAGGACCGGAGUGGACACACCUCUGGUGUAUCGGUUGUCACGCCAGUGGCAUUGCCGAGUAGCUAAGUGUGGAAGAGAUAACCGCUGAACUUUUU